Molecule: non-coding RNA, 99 nt
Filed under: Nonomuraea dietziae
Lineage: Bacteria; Bacillati; Actinomycetota; Actinomycetes; Streptosporangiales; Streptosporangiaceae
Source: RNAcentral
GAGAGCCCGGUGCGGUGAGAGUCGCACGCCGGGUUCGGUGAGCGGCACGGAGAAACGGACCGGUGGCAACACCAGCACCGCGCUCCGUGCCGACUCGAC